This 172-nucleotide non-coding RNA is filed under the name uncultured Cycloclasticus sp. RNAcentral's name for it is "6S / SsrS RNA". It matches the Rfam family "6S / SsrS RNA". Rfam says of the family: E. coli 6S RNA was the first non coding RNA to be sequenced, but its function was unknown until recently. The record is from RNAcentral. Lineage: Bacteria; Pseudomonadati; Pseudomonadota; Gammaproteobacteria; Thiotrichales; Piscirickettsiaceae.
UUCCCUGCGGUGUUCGAGAUAAGGUGAAUUGCCCUUGGACCUAAUCACCUACUCGGGAAGAAGGAUCAUUUACUGGUGUGCAUGCUCUUAUAGAGAAGCCUGAUGUCAAUGUCUGACUCCCACUUAAACCAUUUGGUUUAAGGUAGAAACCUGAAGACGACACUAGCGGGGA